RNAcentral lists this ribosomal RNA (265 nucleotides) under uncultured bacterium. Its description in RNAcentral is "partial 16S ribosomal RNA". It matches the Rfam family "Bacterial small subunit ribosomal RNA", at positions 87 to 354 of the family's 1533-position model. The record is from RNAcentral.
CUGUCUUAGUGGCGACGGGUGAGUAACGCGUGGGCAACCUGCCCUGUACCGGGGGAUAACACUUAGAAAUAGGUGCUAAUACCGCAUAAUAGGGAAUACCGCAUGGUAAUCCUUUGAAAUCUCCGGUGGUACAGGAUGGGCCCGCGUCUGAUUAGCCAGUUGGCGGGGUAACGGCCCACCAAAGCGACGAUCAGCAGCCGGCCUGAGAGGGUGGACGGCCACACUGGGACUGAGACACGGCCCAGACUCCUACGGAAGGCAGCAG